GUGAGGAAUAUUGGUCAAUGGAGGCAACUCUGAACCAGCCAUGCCGCGUGCAGGAAGACGGUCCUAUGGAUUGUAAACUGCUUUUAUUUAGGAAUAAACCCCCGGUCGUGCACCGGGGCUGAAUGUACUAAAAGAAUAAGCACCGGCUAACUCCGUGCCAGCAGCCGCGGUAAUACGGAGGGUGCAAGCGUUAUCCGGAAUCAUUGGGUUUAAAGGGUCCGCAGGCGGGUAAAUAAGUCAGAGGUGAAAUCCGGCAGCUCAACUGUCGCACUGCCUUUGAUACUGUUUAUCUUGAAUUUUAGUGGAGUGGGCGGAAUAUGUCAUGUAGCGGUGAAAUGCUUAGAUAUGACGUGGAACACCGAUAGCGAAGGCAGCUCACUAACUAUGAAUUGACGCUCAUGGACGAAAGCGUGGGUAGCAAACAGGAUUAGAUACCCGUGUAGUCC
Molecule: ribosomal RNA, 446 nt
Filed under: uncultured bacterium
Lineage: Bacteria
Description: partial 16S ribosomal RNA
Rfam family: Bacterial small subunit ribosomal RNA
Source: RNAcentral